UUAUUUGUUCAUGUCAUUAUUGCUGAGUUUGUUCCUCGUCUUCAAAUAGGUGUGGCAUGGAGAAGGAACAACUUGACAGGAAUCAACUACACAAGGAGCAUAGAGGUGUUUGUCUGCCCAGGACAUGCUUAGUUCCUCCACCUAGAAGCAAAAAGGUUGGUUUUAGUCUUUUUGAUAUUUUGUCCUAGAUUUAGUUGUUUCCUGAAUUCCUGCUGCAAUUUUGUGGUUAAAAGGGUAAGUGUAAUGGAAACUUCAUUUGGUGCCCACUUUCUCAUUCUCCCAUGUUUCUGAUGCUCUCACAUGGCAUCGUAGGUUGGGUUACACCAGUACAGCUCUUAAAAUGUUCUACUUGCCCUUUACUUCAGUCAGUGUUGCCACUGUGUUGAUUGGUCUGUCGUGCUGCCACUGUCGUAACCUUCAAUUUCACUUCGUUUAUUGUUCUGAUUUUACAUGUAUUAACAAAUUCGUUGGUUGUGCCCCUGGAUGUGCCUGUCAGAAGCAAUGUUUCCUAGCGUCUAAACAACAUGCCAUGCCUUGGUAUGUCAUGGCCCAGCAAAGAGCUUACUUUUCAGAUAUUGAUGCGUUCAAACUACAAGAGGAGGAGGUUUCACCGUUUCAGAAAGUGAGUUGGAUUGAUGGCAGGGGUCUUGUAGCCAUGUUGUGAUGAUUUUAACCUAAGCACUGGUGUCCUGUAUAAAGAAUGGUGAAACAUAGUUUUCAAGUAACUGGUUAUCUCGGCGACUGAUUAGUGAUUACUUGCUGUCUACUAUAUUAUUGAUAUUAGUUAGUCAUGUCUACUCAUUGUAGGC
Molecule: long non-coding RNA, 809 nt
Filed under: Aquilegia coerulea
Lineage: Eukaryota; Viridiplantae; Streptophyta; Magnoliopsida; Ranunculales; Ranunculaceae
Description: long non-coding RNA (ACOE_LNC001700)
Source: RNAcentral